UACGACCAUAUCACUUUGAAACAUCGGUUCCUGUACGAUCACCGAAGUUAAGCAAUGUCGAGCCUGAUCAGUACCUAGAUGGGUAACUACUUGGGAAUACCAGGUGUUGCCAG
This 113-nucleotide ribosomal RNA is filed under the name Acanthosepion pharaonis. Lineage: Eukaryota; Metazoa; Mollusca; Cephalopoda; Sepiida; Sepiidae. The record is from RNAcentral.